GAGUUUGAUCUUGGCUCAGAACGAACGCUGGCGGCAGGCUUAACACAUGCAAGUCGAACGGGCAUAGCAAUAUGUCAGUGGCAGACGGGUGAGUAACGCGUGGGAACGUACCCUUUACUACGGAAUAACGCAUGGAAACGUGUGCUAAUACCGUAUGUGCCCUUCGGGGGAAAGAUUUAUCGGUAAAGGAUCGGCCCGCGUUGGAUUAGCUAGUUGGUGGGGUAAAGGCCUACCAAGGCGACGAUCCAUAGCUGGUCUGAGAGGAUGAUCAGCCACAUUGGGACUGAGACACGGCCCAAACUCCUACGGGAGGCAGCAGUGGGGAAUAUUGGACAAUGGGCGCAAGCCUGAUCCAGCCAUGCCGCGUGAGUGAUGAAGGCCCUAGGGUUGUAAAGCUCUUUUCACCGGUGAAGAUAAUGACGGUAACCGGAGAAGAAGACCCCGGCUAACUUCGUGCCAGCCGCCGCAGUAAG
RNAcentral lists this ribosomal RNA (473 nucleotides) under uncultured beta proteobacterium. RNAcentral describes it as "bacterial SSU rRNA". It matches the Rfam family "Bacterial small subunit ribosomal RNA", at positions 9 to 524 of the family's 1533-position model. Lineage: Bacteria; Pseudomonadati; Pseudomonadota; Betaproteobacteria. The record is from RNAcentral.